This 329-nucleotide ribosomal RNA is filed under the name uncultured eukaryote. RNAcentral's name for it is "partial 18S ribosomal RNA". It matches the Rfam family "Eukaryotic small subunit ribosomal RNA", at positions 1470 to 1796 of the family's 1831-position model. The record is from RNAcentral.
CCCUUAGAUGUUCUGGGCCGCACGCGCGCUACAAUGAUGAAUUCAACGAGUUUAUAACCUUGGUUGAAAAGCCUGGGUAAUCUUUUGAACUUUCGUCGUGAUGGGGCUAGACCCUUGCAAUUAUUGGUCUCCAACGAGGAAUUCCUAGUAAACGCAAGUCAUCAGCUUGCAUUGAUUACGUCCCUGCCCUUUGUACACACCGCCCGUCGCACCUACCGAUUGAAUGGUCCGGUGAAAUCUUCGGAUUGAGACUUUGAUUUCUUCACGGAAAACGCUGUUUUAAGAAGUUGAUUAAACCUUACCAUUUAGAGGAAGGUGAAGUCGUANCA